UACGUAGGGACCAAGCGUUGUUCGGAUUUACUGGGCGUAAAGGGCGCGUAGGCGGCGUGUCAAGUCAAUUGUGAAAUCUCUGAGCUUAACUCAGAACGGUCAAGUAAUACUGCCAGACUCGAGUGCAGAAGGGGCAACUGGAAUUCUUGGUGUAGCGGUGAAAUGCGUAGAUAUCAAGAGGAACACCUGAGGCGAAGGCGGGUUGCUGGGCUGACACUGACGCUGAGGCGCGAAAGCUAGGGGAGCAAACAGG
Molecule: ribosomal RNA, 253 nt
Filed under: uncultured bacterium
Lineage: Bacteria
Description: partial 16S ribosomal RNA
Rfam family: Bacterial small subunit ribosomal RNA
Source: RNAcentral